GCACAAGCGGUGGAGCAUGUGGUUUAAUUCGACGCAACGCGAAGAACCUUACCUGGGCUCGAAAUGUAGUGGACCGGGGUGGAAACAUCCCUUCCCCGCAAGGGGCCGCUAUAUAGGUGCUGCAUGGCUGUCGUCAGCUCGUGUCGUGAGAUGUUGGGUUAAGUCCCGCAACGAGCGCAACCCUUAUCUCCAGUUGCUACCAUUUAGUUGAGCACUCUGGCGAAACCGCCUCGGAUAACGGGGAGGAAGGUGGGGAUGACGUCAAGUCCUCAUGGCCUUUAUGUCCAGGGCUACACACGUGCUACAAUGGCCGGUACAAACCGUCGCAAACCCGCGAGGGGGAGCUAAUCGGAAAAAGCCGGCCUCAGUUCGGAUCGCAGUCUGCAACUCGACUGCGUGAAGCUGGAAUCGCUAGUAAUCGCGGAUCAGAACGCCGCGGUGAAUACGUUCCCGGGC
RNAcentral lists this ribosomal RNA (456 nucleotides) under uncultured bacterium. Its description in RNAcentral is "bacterial SSU rRNA". It matches the Rfam family "Bacterial small subunit ribosomal RNA", at positions 923 to 1379 of the family's 1533-position model. The record is from RNAcentral.